ACAUCCUAAUGAAGAUGCAAUGAAUGUGACAAUGAUCAGUUCAAUAUUGCCAGACUAGCCUCAUGUUGAUUUACAGGUGGUGUUCCUGUGUCUUCCUCCAGAAAAAUACCUGAGGGACUAAGACACUGUAAUACUUCCUCAGUUCAAAGCGAAGAGUGACCAGCUGCCUCUAACAAACAGAAGGGUUGUGAUUCAAAUUCAAAGAAGACAGAAGAUCUGACGAGUUAGAAUUGACAGCGGGGCAGUCCUGGCGUGUAAGAACACCAAGCAAGUACUCAAAGGACCAAGACAAUGUAAUAUUCCCUCGGUACAGAGCCAAGUGUGACCAGCUGCUUCGAACAAACAGCAGAUCCUUUGUCAGAGAGGGAGAGGCCGACAGCACAGAUGUU
Molecule: non-coding RNA, 389 nt
Organism: Chiloscyllium plagiosum (whitespotted bambooshark)
Lineage: Eukaryota; Metazoa; Chordata; Chondrichthyes; Orectolobiformes; Hemiscylliidae
Source: RefSeq, a predicted model, not a curated record